UAAGGAGCUUGCUCCUUUGACGUUGCGGCGGACGGGUGAGUAACACGUGGAUAACCUACCUAUAAGACUGGGAUAACUUCGGGAAACCGGAGCUAAUACCGGAUAACAUAUUGAACCGCAUGGUUCAAUAGUGAAAGGCGGCUUUGCUGUCACUUAUAGAUGGAUCCGCGCCGUAUUAGCUAGUUGGUAAGGUAACGGCUUACCAAGGCAACGAUACGUAGCCGACCUGAGAGGGUGAUCGGCCACACUGGAACUGAGACACGGUCCAGACUCCUACGGGAGGCAGCAGUAGGGAAUCUUCCGCAAUGGGCGAAAGCCUGACGGAGCAACGCCGCGUGAGUGAUGAAGGUCUUCGGAUCGUAAAACUCUGUUAUCAGGGAAGAACAAAUGUGUAAGUAACUGUGCACAUCUUGACGGUACCUGAUCAGAAAGCCACGGCUAACUACGUGCCAGCAGCCGCGGUAAUACGUAGGUGGCAAGCGUUAUCCGGAAUUAUUGGGCGUAAAGCGCGCGUAGGCGGUUUUUUAAGUCUGAUGUGAAAGCCCACGGCUCAACCGUGGAGGGUCAUUGGAAACUGGAAAACUUGAGUGCAGAAGAGGAAAGUGGAAUUCCAUGUGUAGCGGUGAAAUGCGCAGAGAUAUGGAGGAACACCAGUGGCGAAGGCGACUUUCUGGUCUGUAACUGACGCUGAUGUGCGAAAGCGUGGGGAUCAAACAGGAUUAGAUACCCUGGUAGUCCACGCCGUAAACGAUGAGUGCUAAGUGUUAGGGGGUUUCCGCCCCUUAGUGCUGCAGCUAACGCAUUAAGCACUCCGCCUGGGGAGUACGACCGCAGGGUUGAAACUCAAAGGAAUUGACGGGGACCCGCACAAGCGGUGGAGCAUGUGGUUUAAUUCGAAGCAACGCGAAGAACCUUACCAAAUCUUGACAUCCUUUGACCGCUCUAGAGAUAGAGUUUUCCCCUUCGGGGGACAAAGUGACAGGUGGUGCAUGGUUGUCGUCAGCUCGUGUCGUGAGAUGUUGGGUUAAGUCCCGCAACGAGCGCAACCCUUAAGCUUAGUUGCCAUCAUUAAGUUGGGCACUCUAAGUUGACUGCCGGUGACAAACCGGAGGAAGGUGGGGAUGACGUCAAAUCAUCAUGCCCCUUAUGAUUUGGGCUACACACGUGCUACAAUGGACAAUACAAAGGGCAGCUAAACCGCGAGGUCAAGCAAAUCCCAUAAAGUUGUUCUCAGUUCGGAUUGUAGUCUGCAACUCGACUACAUGAAGC
RNAcentral lists this ribosomal RNA (1269 nucleotides) under Staphylococcus pasteuri. Its description in RNAcentral is "bacterial SSU rRNA". It matches the Rfam family "Bacterial small subunit ribosomal RNA", at positions 72 to 1326 of the family's 1533-position model. The record is from RNAcentral. Lineage: Bacteria; Bacillati; Bacillota; Bacilli; Caryophanales; Staphylococcaceae.